RNAcentral lists this ribosomal RNA (384 nucleotides) under uncultured bacterium. Its description in RNAcentral is "bacterial SSU rRNA". It matches the Rfam family "Bacterial small subunit ribosomal RNA", at positions 30 to 414 of the family's 1533-position model. The record is from RNAcentral.
AUUGAACGCUGGCGGCAUGCCUUACACAUUGCAAGUCGAACGGCAGCACGGACUUCGGUCUGGUGGCGAGUGGCGAACGGGUGAGUAAUGUAUCGGAACGUACCUUUCAGUGGGGGAUAACGUAGCGAAGUUACGCUAAUACGCAUAUUCUGUGAGCAGGAAAGCAGGGGAUCGCAAGACCUUGCGCUGAUUGAGCGGCCGAUAUCAGAUUAGCUAGUUGGUGGGGUAAAGGCCUACCAAGGCUACGAUCUGUAGCGGGUCUGAGAGGAUGAUCCGCCACACUGGAACUGAGACACGGUCCCAGACUCCUACGGGAGGCAGCAGUGGGGAAUUUUGGACAAUGGGGGCAACCCUGAUCCAGCCAUGCCGCGUGAGUGAAGAAGG